RNAcentral lists this ribosomal RNA (429 nucleotides) under Bacillota bacterium. RNAcentral's name for it is "Firmicutes bacterium partial 16S ribosomal RNA". It matches the Rfam family "Bacterial small subunit ribosomal RNA", at positions 355 to 776 of the family's 1533-position model. Lineage: Bacteria; Bacillati; Bacillota. The record is from RNAcentral.
UAGGGAAUCUUCGGCAAUGGACGGAAGUCUGACCGAGCAACGCCGCGUGAGUGAAGAAGGUUUUCGGAUCGUAAAGCUCUGUUGUUAGAGAAGAACGUUGGUAGGAGUGGAAAAUCUACCAAGUGACGGUAACUAACCAGAAAGGGACGGCUAACUACGUGCCAGCAGCCGCGGUAAUACGUAGGUCCCGAGCGUUGUCCGGAUUUAUUGGGCGUAAGGCGAGCGCAGGCGGUUCUUUAAGUCUGAAGUUAAAGGCAGUGGCUUAACCAUUGUACGCUUUGGAAACUGGAGGACUUGAGUGCAGAAGGGGAGAGUGGAAUUCCAUGUGUAGCGGUGAAAUGCGUAGAUAUAUGGAGGAACGCCGGUGGCGAAAGCGGCUCUCUGGUCUGUAACUGACGCUGAGGCUCGAAAGCGUGGGGAGCAAACAGG